GGACUCGUAGCUCAGUUGGUUAGAGCGUCUCAUUUACACUGAGAAGGUCCCCUGUUCGAGUCAGGGCGGGUCCA
Molecule: transfer RNA, 74 nt
Filed under: Candidatus Daviesbacteria bacterium
Lineage: Bacteria; Candidatus Daviesiibacteriota
Description: tRNA-Val
Rfam family: tRNA
About the family: Transfer RNA (tRNA) molecules are approximately 80 nucleotides in length. Their secondary structure includes four short double-helical elements and three loops (D, anti-codon, and T loops).
Source: RNAcentral